Molecule: ribosomal RNA, 2930 nt
Filed under: Escherichia coli
Lineage: Bacteria; Pseudomonadati; Pseudomonadota; Gammaproteobacteria; Enterobacterales; Enterobacteriaceae
Description: bacterial LSU rRNA
Rfam family: Bacterial large subunit ribosomal RNA
Source: RNAcentral
GGGUUGUGAGGUUAAGCGACUAAGCGUACACGGUGGAUGCCCUGGCAGUCAGAGGCGAUGAAGGACGUGCUAAUCUGCGAUAAGCGUCGGUAAGGUGAUAUGAACCGUUAUAACCGGCGAUUUCCGAAUGGGGAAACCCAGUGUGAUUCGUCACACUAUCAUUAACUGAAUCCAUAGGUUAAUGAGGCGAACCGGGGGAACUGAAACAUCUAAGUACCCCGAGGAAAAGAAAUCAACCGAGAUUCCCCCAGUAGCGGCGAGCGAACGGGGAGCAGCCCAGAGCCUGAAUCAGUGUGUGUGUUAGUGGAAGCGUCUGGAAAGGCGCGCGAUACAGGGUGACAGCCCCGUACACAAAAAUGCACAUGCUGUGAGCUCGAUGAGUAGGGCGGGACACGUGGUAUCCUGUCUGAAUAUGGGGGGACCAUCCUCCAAGGCUAAAUACUCCUGACUGACCGAUAGUGAACCAGUACCGUGAGGGAAAGGCGAAAAGAACCCCGGCGAGGGGAGUGAAAAAGAACCUGAAACCGUGUACGUACAAGCAGUGGGAGCACGCUUAGGCGUGUGACUGCGUACCUUUUGUAUAAUGGGUCAGCGACUUAUAUUCUGUAGCAAGGUUAACCGAAUAGGGGAGCCGAAGGGAAACCGAGUCUUAACUGGGCGUUAAGUUGCAGGGUAUAGACCCGAAACCCGGUGAUCUAGCCAUGGGCAGGUUGAAGGUUGGGUAACACUAACUGGAGGACCGAACCGACUAAUGUUGAAAAAUUAGCGGAUGACUUGUGGCUGGGGGUGAAAGGCCAAUCAAACCGGGAGAUAGCUGGUUCUCCCCGAAAGCUAUUUAGGUAGCGCCUCGUGAAUUCAUCUCCGGGGGUAGAGCACUGUUUCGGCAAGGGGGUCAUCCCGACUUACCAACCCGAUGCAAACUGCGAAUACCGGAGAAUGUUAUCACGGGAGACACACGGCGGGUGCUAACGUCCGUCGUGAAGAGGGAAACAACCCAGACCGCCAGCUAAGGUCCCAAAGUCAUGGUUAAGUGGGAAACGAUGUGGGAAGGCCCAGACAGCCAGGAUGUUGGCUUAGAAGCAGCCAUCAUUUAAAGAAAGCGUAAUAGCUCACUGGUCGAGUCGGCCUGCGCGGAAGAUGUAACGGGGCUAAACCAUGCACCGAAGCUGCGGCAGCGACGCUGAUGCGUUGUUGGGUAGGGGAGCGUUCUGUAAGCCUGCGAAGGUGUGCUGUGAGGCAUGCUGGAGGUAUCAGAAGUGCGAAUGCUGACAUAAGUAACGAUAAAGCGGGUGAAAAGCCCGCUCGCCGGAAGACCAAGGGUUCCUGUCCAACGUUAAUCGGGGCAGGGUGAGUCGACCCCUAAGGCGAGGCCGAAAGGCGUAGUCGAUGGGAAACAGGUUAAUAUUCCUGUACUUGGUGUUACUGCGAAGGGGGGACGGAGAAGGCUAUGUUGGCCGGGCGACGGUUGUCCCGGUUUAAGCGUGUAGGCUGGUUUUCCAGGCAAAUCCGGAAAAUCAAGGCUGAGGCGUGAUGACGAGGCACUACGGUGCUGAAGCAACAAAUGCCCUGCUUCCAGGAAAAGCCUCUAAGCAUCAGGUAACAUCAAAUCGUACCCCAAACCGACACAGGUGGUCAGGUAGAGAAUACCAAGGCGCUUGAGAGAACUCGGGUGAAGGAACUAGGCAAAAUGGUGCCGUAACUUCGGGAGAAGGCACGCUGAUAUGUAGGUGAAGUCCCUCGCGGAUGGAGCUGAAAUCAGUCGAAGAUACCAGCUGGCUGCAACUGUUUAUUAAAAACACAGCACUGUGCAAACACGAAAGUGGACGUAUACGGUGUGACGCCUGCCCGGUGCCGGAAGGUUAAUUGAUGGGGUCAGCGCAAGCGAAGCUCUUGAUCGAAGCCCCGGUAAACGGCGGCCGUAACUAUAACGGUCCUAAGGUAGCGAAAUUCCUUGUCGGGUAAGUUCCGACCUGCACGAAUGGCGUAAUGAUGGCCAGGCUGUCUCCACCCGAGACUCAGUGAAAUUGAACUCGCUGUGAAGAUGCAGUGUACCCGCGGCAAGACGGAAAGACCCCGUGAACCUUUACUAUAGCUUGACACUGAACAUUGAGCCUUGAUGUGUAGGAUAGGUGGGAGGCUUUGAAGUGUGGACGCCAGUCUGCAUGGAGCCGACCUUGAAAUACCACCCUUUAAUGUUUGAUGUUCUAACGUUGACCCGUAAUCCGGGUUGCGGACAGUGUCUGGUGGGUAGUUUGACUGGGGCGGUCUCCUCCUAAAGAGUAACGGAGGAGCACGAAGGUUGGCUAAUCCUGGUCGGACAUCAGGAGGUUAGUGCAAUGGCAUAAGCCAGCUUGACUGCGAGCGUGACGGCGCGAGCAGGUGCGAAAGCAGGUCAUAGUGAUCCGGUGGUUCUGAAUGGAAGGGCCAUCGCUCAACGGAUAAAAGGUACUCCGGGGAUAACAGGCUGAUACCGCCCAAGAGUUCAUAUCGACGGCGGUGUUUGGCACCUCGAUGUCGGCUCAUCACAUCCUGGGGCUGAAGUAGGUCCCAAGGGUAUGGCUGUUCGCCAUUUAAAGUGGUACGCGAGCUGGGUUUAGAACGUCGUGAGACAGUUCGGUCCCUAUCUGCCGUGGGCGCUGGAGAACUGAGGGGGGCUGCUCCUAGUACGAGAGGACCGGAGUGGACGCAUCACUGGUGUUCGGGUUGUCAUGCCAAUGGCACUGCCCGGUAGCUAAAUGCGGAAGAGAUAAGUGCUGAAAGCAUCUAAGCACGAAACUUGCCCCGAGAUGAGUUCUCCCUGACUCCUUGAGAGUCCUGAAGGAACGUUGAAGACGACGACGUUGAUAGGCCGGGUGUGUAAGCGCAGCGAUGCGUUGAGCUAACCGGUACUAAUGAACCGUGAGGCUUAACCUUACAACGCCGAAGCUGUU